AAAACAAAGUUCAAUUUCUGCUUUAGAGAUAGAAUAUUUUCUCUUAAAAACUCAGGCAAAUUGGUGUUUAUCUUGUCUCCUGUCAGAGUAAACAAAU
RNAcentral lists this small nucleolar RNA (97 nucleotides) under Carlito syrichta (Philippine tarsier). RNAcentral describes it as "Small nucleolar RNA SNORA27 (ENSTSYG00000024840.2)". Lineage: Eukaryota; Metazoa; Chordata; Mammalia; Primates; Tarsiidae. The record is from RNAcentral.